RNAcentral lists this long non-coding RNA (329 nucleotides) under Vitis vinifera (wine grape). RNAcentral describes it as "long non-coding RNA (VVIN_LNC002106)". Lineage: Eukaryota; Viridiplantae; Streptophyta; Magnoliopsida; Vitales; Vitaceae. The record is from RNAcentral.
UUUUUUUUUUUUUACCGAUUUCCUUUUAAAAACAACAAUUUAAACCCACAAGAUACAUCUCCCAGACUCGUACUCAAAGCACAAUCAACCAAUUUUACAGGUAAAGUUCGAGUUCAAUUUUAGAAAUCUCGCCUUUCUUCACCAAAUUCAAGUUUUACAUGCAUUUGCAUACGUAAAUUCAAUUUACAUGCAUUUGCAUACGUAAAUUCAAUCAAAAUAAUGCCAAAACCAGAAAAAUUAGGGACAAAAUGUCAUUCCAAACCUUCUCAAUUUGUGGAAAUUGCGCGCGCAUUAUGCGUAGAGCCACCAACGUAUCGCUGAAAGUAAGA